Molecule: ribosomal RNA, 420 nt
Filed under: uncultured bacterium
Lineage: Bacteria
Description: partial 16S ribosomal RNA
Rfam family: Bacterial small subunit ribosomal RNA
Source: RNAcentral
AAUAUUGGACAAUGGGGGCAACCCUGACCCAGCCAUGCCGCGUGUGUGAAGAAGGACUUCGGUUUGUAAAGUACUUUAAUUUGGGAGGAAGGGCUUAGGUUAAUACGCUGAAGUUUUGACGUAACCAACAGAUUAAGCACCGGCCAACUCCGUGCAGGCAGCCGCGGUAAUACAGGGGGUGCAAGCGUAAAUCGGAAUUACUGGGCGUAAAGCGCGAGUAGGUGGUUCAGUAAGAUGGGUGUGGAAUCCGCGGGCUUAACCUGGGAGCUGCUUUCAUAACUGCUGAGCUAGAGUACGGUAGAGGGUAGUGGAAUUUCCUGUGUAGCGGUGAAAUGCGUAGAUAUAGGAAGGAACACCAGUGGCGAAGGCGACUACCUGGACUGAUACUGACACUGAGGUGCGAAAGCGUGGGGAGCAAAC